This 301-nucleotide ribosomal RNA is filed under the name uncultured bacterium. Its description in RNAcentral is "partial 16S ribosomal RNA". It matches the Rfam family "Bacterial small subunit ribosomal RNA", at positions 509 to 807 of the family's 1533-position model. The record is from RNAcentral.
CAGUAGCCGCGGGAAUACGUAGGUGGCAAGCGUUGUCCGGAAUUAUUGGGCGUAAAGGGCUCGCAGGCGGUUUCUUAAGUCUGAUGUGAAAGCCCCCGGCUCAACCGGGGAGGGUCAUUGGAAACUGGGAAACUUGAGUGCAGAAGAGGAGAGUGGGGUCCCACGUGUAGCGGUGAAAUGCGUAAAGAUGUGGAGGAACACCAGUGGCGAAGGCGACUCUCUGGUCUGUAACUGACGCUGAGGAGCGAAAGCGUGGGGAGCGAACAGGAUUAGAGACCCCGGUAGUCCCUGUCUCUUAUAC